CCACACAUAAAUAUAUAUAUAUAUGUUUACUACAACACCCACACAUAAAUAUAUAUCUAUAUGUUUACUACAACACCCACACAUAAAUAUAUAUCUAUAUGUUUACUACAACACCCAUACAUCAAUAUAUAUCUAUAUGUACAGUUUCCCCUAGAUACAGAUCUGGCAUCAGUUUCCCCAAGGUACAGAUCUAGGAUCAGCUGACCCAAGAUACAGAUCUAGGGUCAGUUUCCUCUAGGUACAGAUCUAGGAUCAGUUUCCUCUAGGUACAGAUCUAGGAUCCGUUUCCUCUAGGUACAGAUCUAGGAUCAGUUUCCUCUAGGUACAGAUCUAGGAUCAGUUUCCUCUAGAUACAGAUCUAGGAUCAGUUUCCUCUAGAUACAGAUCUAGGAUCAGUUUCCUCUAGAUACAGAUCUAGGAUCAGUUUCCUCUAGAUACAGAUCUAGGAUCAGUUUCCUCUAGAUACAGAUCUAGGAUCAGUUUCCUCUAGAUACAGAUCUAGGAUCAGUUUCCUCUAGAUACAGAUCUAGGAUCAGUUUCCUCUAGAUACAGAUCUAGGAUCAGUUUCCUCUAGGUACAGAUCUAGGAUCAGUUUCCUCUAGAUACAGAUCUAGGAUCAGCUGACCCAAGAUACAGAUCUAGGAUCAGUUUCCUCUAGGUACAGAUCUAGGGUCAGUUUCCUCUAGGUACAGAUCUAGGAUCAGUUUCCCCUAGAUACAGAUCUAGGAUCAGUUUCCCCUAGAUACAGAUCUAGGAUCAGUUUCCCCUAGAUACAGAUCUAGGAUCAGUUUCCCCUAGAUACAGAUCUAGGAUCAGUUUCCCCUAGAUACAGAUCUAGGAUCAGCUGACCCAAGAUACGUUCUGUUUUCAUGAUUCUGUUAUCAUUAUUACAAGCGUAUUACAUUCUAAAUGGUCUUGUAACUAAUACUUAGAUCAUGUUGAACAGAAACUACAUUCUAAAUGGUCUUGUAACUAAUACUUAGAUCAUGUUGAACAGAAACUACAUUCUAAAUGGUCUUGUAACUAAUACUUAGAUCAUGUUGAACAACAGAAACUACAUUCUAAAUGGUCUUGUAACUAAUACUUAGAUCAUGUUGAACAGAAACUACAUUCUAAAUGGUCUUGUAACUAAUACUUAGAUCAUGUUGAACAACAGAAACUACAUUCUAAAUGGUCUUGUAACUAAUACUUAGAUCAUGUUGAACAACAGAAACUACAUGCCGGGAACCUUCAAUAAAUCAGAAGAGGAGAGGAAUCAUCCAACCAGGAUUUCUGGAAAACCAGGAAAUGUAUUGAAAGGAGAAAUGCUGUGAUUGGCUACAAGAGGAUAGGGAAGAGGAGGAGAGGAAGGAGAUAGAGUUUCUCCCCCUCUCCU
Molecule: long non-coding RNA, 1375 nt
Organism: Oncorhynchus keta (chum salmon)
Lineage: Eukaryota; Metazoa; Chordata; Actinopteri; Salmoniformes; Salmonidae
Exons: 3
Source: RefSeq, a predicted model, not a curated record